CCUCCAGACUAAAGCUCUGAGCAAAUGAGCUUCUGUGAUAUAUGUUUAUUUUGUUUUAUGACUGUUUUAGGCUAAAUGUGAUCCCAAUUUUCCUGCAUGUCCACAAAACUAUGACCCUGUCUGUGGCAUGGAUGGACAUACCUAUAGCAAUGAAUGUGAUCUAUGUCAGCAAAGCAAAAUAGAUCCUAGAGAGUGUAAAGGCAGUCACAGAAGAUAACUAAACUGAAGGGGACCAGGAAUAUUAGCAUUCAAUGGGUUUAAUUCCAAUGGAACCUAGGUUUUCCAGGGGAAGAGAGGACAGGAAGAAUGGAGGGAUGCUAAGGUACUUAAAAAUAAUAAUAGUUAAUAUUUAUAUAGCAUUUAAAGACAGCUAGAUGGCACAGAAGAUAGAGCACUGGACAUGGGGUGAGGAAGACAUAAGUUCAAAGUUGGUUCCAGACACUUACUGGCUAUGAAAUCCCAGGCAUGUAACUUAACCCAGUUUUCCUCAGUUUCCCUAUCUGGAAAAUGAACUGGAGAAGGAAAUGACAAACCAUUUCAUUGACUUUUCCAAGAAAACACCAAAUGGGUUCCCAAAGAGUUGGACAAUACUGAAACAGUCAACACCAUAUAGCAUUUAUGAUGUUCUGGGUACUGUG
This 638-nucleotide long non-coding RNA is filed under the name Monodelphis domestica (gray short-tailed opossum). RNAcentral describes it as "lncRNA (ENSMODG00000030172.2)". The record is from RNAcentral. Lineage: Eukaryota; Metazoa; Chordata; Mammalia; Didelphimorphia; Didelphidae.